UACGUAGGGUCCGAGCGUUGUCCGGAAUUAUUGGGCGUAAAGAGCUCGUAGGCGGCAUGUCGCGUCUGCUGUGAAAGACCGGGGCUCAACUUCGGUUUUGCAGUGGAUACGGGCAUGCUAGAGGUAGGUAGGGGAGACUGGAAUUCCUGGUGUAGCGGUGGAAUGCGCAGAUAUCAGGAGGAAUACCGGUGGCGAAGGCGGGUCUCUGGGCCUUACCUGACGCUGAGGAGCGAAAGCAUGGGUAGCGAACAGG
This 253-nucleotide ribosomal RNA is filed under the name uncultured bacterium. RNAcentral describes it as "partial 16S ribosomal RNA". It matches the Rfam family "Bacterial small subunit ribosomal RNA", at positions 524 to 776 of the family's 1533-position model. The record is from RNAcentral.